RNAcentral lists this ribosomal RNA (272 nucleotides) under uncultured soil crust cyanobacterium. RNAcentral's name for it is "partial 16S ribosomal RNA". It matches the Rfam family "Bacterial small subunit ribosomal RNA", at positions 456 to 727 of the family's 1533-position model. The record is from RNAcentral. Lineage: Bacteria; Bacillati; Cyanobacteriota.
AUACGAGAGGCCCAUGACGGUACCAGAGGAAUCAGCAUCGGCUAACUCCGUGCCAGCAGCCGCGGUAAGACGGAGGAUGCAAGCGUUAUCCGGAAUGAUUGGGCGUAAAGCGUCCGCAGGUGGCAGUUCAAGUCUGCUGUCAAAGACCGGGGCUUAACUUCGGAAAGGCAGUGGAAACUGAACAGCUAGAGUAUGGUAGGGGCAGAGGGAAUUCCUGGUGUAGCGGUGAAAUGCGUAGAGAUCAGGAAGAACAUCGGUGGCGAAGGCGCUCU